Non-coding RNA from Nemania abortiva, 109 nucleotides. The record is from the annotation of a GenBank genome assembly. Lineage: Eukaryota; Fungi; Ascomycota; Sordariomycetes; Xylariales; Xylariaceae.
GGUGAGAUGGCCGAGUGGUUAUGGCGCCGUGUUCAGGAACACCUUUCGUUAGGAUCGUGAACAAUUCGCGGUGGAGCAAUCCGCGUGGGUUCGAGUCCCACUCUCAUCA